UGAGGAAUAUUGCGCAAUGGGCGAAAGCCUGACGCAGCGACGCCGCGUGGAGGAUGAAGGUUUUAGGAUUGUAAACUCCUGUUAAGCGGGAAGAAACCUCGAAUUUUAAUAGGAUUCGAGUCUGACGGUACCGCUAAAGAAAGCACCGGCUAACUUCGUGCCAGCAGCCGCGGUAAUACGAGGGGUGCAAGCGUUAUUCGGAAUAACUGGGCGUAAAGGGUGUGUAGACGGUGUAUUAAGCUUGUUGUUAAAUUUUUCGGCCUAACCGGAAACAUGCAGCGAGAACUGGUAUGCUAGAGGGUGGAAGAGAGAAGUGGAAUUCCUGGAGUAGCGGUAAAAUGCGUAGAUCUCAGGAGGAACACCAAUGGCGAAGGCAGCUUCUUAGUCCAUUCCUGACGUUGAGACACGAAAGCGUGGGGAGCAAACAGG
This 429-nucleotide ribosomal RNA is filed under the name uncultured bacterium. Its description in RNAcentral is "bacterial SSU rRNA". It matches the Rfam family "Bacterial small subunit ribosomal RNA", at positions 355 to 776 of the family's 1533-position model. The record is from RNAcentral.